GUCCGCCUCACCGCGUGCACUGGUCCGGCCGGGCCUUUCCUUCUGGGGAGCCGCAUGCCCUUCACUGGGUGUGUCGGGGAACCAGGACUUUUACUUUGAAAAAAUUAGAGUGUUCAAAGCAGGCCUAUGCUCGAAUACAUUAGCAUGGAAUAAUAGAAUAGGACGCGCGUUUCUAUUUUGUUGGUUUCUAGGAUCGCCGUAAUGAUUAAUAGGGAUAGUUGGGGGCAUUCGUAUUCAAUUGC
Molecule: ribosomal RNA, 242 nt
Filed under: uncultured fungus
Lineage: Eukaryota; Fungi
Description: partial 18S ribosomal RNA
Rfam family: Eukaryotic small subunit ribosomal RNA (bases 77-242)
Source: RNAcentral